This 816-nucleotide ribosomal RNA is filed under the name Triticum aestivum (bread wheat). RNAcentral describes it as "partial small subunit ribosomal RNA". Lineage: Eukaryota; Viridiplantae; Streptophyta; Magnoliopsida; Poales; Poaceae. The record is from RNAcentral.
AUGGAUGCUAAUCAGGCCGCCAAGGAUGCGGCUAAGAUUGCUGAUGAGGCUGCUGAUCGUGCCUAUGAUGAGAGGGUUUUGGCUUAUGAGGAGGCCCUUCAGACGUAUCAUGGUGCUUUGUCUGUUUACACCCAGUGGCUUGAUGAUGAUGCUCGUGCUGUAGCUGUUCUCACUGCUAUUGUUCUGCCUCAGUUUGCUUCUGAGUUUCUGGGUCUUCCUACUGUCUUCCAAAUAUGGACCUGUCUUCGUCAGCGCUAUGAGCCCUCUGGUGAUUCCUUAUACCUUUCUGUGGUUCGUCAGGAGCAUGCUCUUCAGCAGGGUGACUCUACUGUUGAUGAAUUUUAUGCACAGAGUUCUGCUAUCUGGCGCCAGCUUGAUUCUCUCCGCAGUGCUGGUUGUCGUACUUGCCCCUACUGCCAGGCUGUCCAGGCCGAUUUGGAGUUUCAUCGCGUCUACGAGUUCCUGUCUCGGCUCCGUAAGGAGUUUGAGCCCCGGCGUGCUCAGUUGUUUGCUCGUGGCCGUAUUUCUCUCAUGGAGGCGCUUUCAGAGAUUCGUGCUGAGGAGACUCGCCUACGUGGUGCUGGUUUGCUGGAGGUUCCCUCUGUGCUCGCUACUCGGGCUUCUUCCACUCCACCUGCUGCACCGCCCUAUUCUCGCUCGAGUGCUCCGCCGCUCUUGCCCACUCCUUCUGGAGGCUCAGGUCGCCCUCGUCCACACUGUGACUACUGCAACAAUGAUGGUCAUAUUGAGUUCCAGUGCUACACAAAGCGGAAACACCUGCGCAAGGCGCGAUCAUCCUCCUCAGGGACUUCGUCA